Long non-coding RNA from Polypterus senegalus (gray bichir), 413 nucleotides. RefSeq lists it as uncharacterized. Lineage: Eukaryota; Metazoa; Chordata; Cladistia; Polypteriformes; Polypteridae. The record is from RefSeq and is a predicted model, not a curated record. The transcript is spliced from 3 exons.
GGCAUGGUGAGUUGUCCAAAGGCCGCAAUUUCAUCAAAACACUUUGCAAUUCAGUUAGUCGUACUGAUGAACCUGUAAUUGUUUUAAUCACGUUAUUUAAGAUUAUUUCUCUUCUAAUCCUGCCCGAAUCUGUUAAAGUUUAUCAUUUGGUAAUGUCUAAAUUAAACUUUCUGUGGUGCAGAUGCAGUGACAGAUCUAAAAUGGACAUUCCCAUUGCCUACGGAUGUGUUUCAGAAAAAGGUCUUAACCCUGCUGUUUGACCUGCGCGAUCAGUACAAAAAAGCAGAACCUGCCUCUUCAGCCGUGCACAUUUUGAGGAUGGAGACUAUGGUGGAUUUUGAGGCAGAGGAGCAACGCCUCUGUGAUGCGCAAGCUUUUGAUACCCUGGUGCUGCAAAUUGCACGUAUUGGAGG